RNAcentral lists this ribosomal RNA (465 nucleotides) under Weissella confusa. RNAcentral's name for it is "bacterial SSU rRNA". It matches the Rfam family "Bacterial small subunit ribosomal RNA", at positions 338 to 795 of the family's 1533-position model. The record is from RNAcentral. Lineage: Bacteria; Bacillati; Bacillota; Bacilli; Lactobacillales; Lactobacillaceae.
CCUACGGGGGGCUGCAGUGGGGAAUUUUGGACAAUGGGGGCAACCCUGAUCCAGCCAUUCCGCGUGAGUGAAGAAGGCCUUCGGGUUGUAAAGCUCUUUCGGCAGGAACGAAACGGUGAGCUCUAACAUAGCUCGCUAAUGACGGUACCUGAAGAAGAAGCACCGGCUAACUACGUGCCAGCAGCCGCGGUAAUACGUAGGGUGCGAGCGUUAAUCGGAAUUACUGGGCGUAAAGCGUGCGCAGGCGGUUGUGUAAGACAGGUGUGAAAUCCCCGGGCUUAACCUGGGAACUGCGCUUGUGACUGCACGGCUAGAGUAUGGCAGAGGGGGGUGGAAUUCCACGUGUAGCAGUGAAAUGCGUAGAGAUGUGGAGGAACACCGAUGGCGAAGGCAGCCCCCUGGGCCAAUACUGACGCUCAUGCACGAAAGCGUGGGGAGCAAACAGGAUUAGAUACCCUGGUAGUC